AAGAUUAAGCCAUGCAUGUCUAAGCACAUGCCUUAAUACGGUGAAGCCGCGAAUAGCUCAUUACAACAGCCACCGUUUACUAGAAUAUAGUUAUCCUACUUGGAUAACUGUGGCAAUUCUAGAGCUAAUACAUGCAAAAAAGCUCCGCCCGCAAGGAACGAGCGCAUUUAUUAGAAUAAAAACCAAUCGGGUUUCGGCCCGUAAUUUGGUGAAUCUGAAUAACUUUGCCAAUCGCACAGUCCUAGUACUGGCGAUGUAUCUUUCAAGUGUCUGCCUUAUCAACUUUCGAUGGUAGGUUAUACGCCUACCAUGGUAGUAACGGGUAACGGAGAAUAAGGGUUCGACUCCGGAGAGGGAGCCUGAGAAACGGCUACCACAUCCAAGGAAGGCAGCAGGCGCGCAAAUUACCCACUUCCAGAACGGAGAGGUAGUGACGAAAAAUAACGAGACAGUCCUCUUCGAGGUCUGUCAUCGGAAUGGGUACAAUUUAAAUCCUUUAACGAGGAUCUAUUGGAGGGCAAGUCUGGUGCCAGCAGCCGCGGUAAUUCCAGC
Molecule: ribosomal RNA, 552 nt
Filed under: Dorylaimida sp. 1 MK-2017
Lineage: Eukaryota; Metazoa; Nematoda; Enoplea; Dorylaimida
Description: SSU rRNA
Rfam family: Eukaryotic small subunit ribosomal RNA
Source: RNAcentral